RNAcentral lists this long non-coding RNA (2125 nucleotides) under Homo sapiens (human). RNAcentral describes it as "long non-coding RNA NONHSAT188371.1". Lineage: Eukaryota; Metazoa; Chordata; Mammalia; Primates; Hominidae. The record is from RNAcentral.
CCUACUUACAGCCACCGAGCGUCAGAAGGCCCAUCUCCUGGGGAAUGGAAAAGUGCCCAGCCGCUGGGAGGCCUCAAGCUGGAGAGCUACGGGGGAAGCAGGGCAGGUGUGGGGCUGGGAGAAGCUACUAAGCCCCACACCCCAGGUGCUCUGGGGCCUCGCAGCCCAGCUGCAGGGAGAUGGAACACUGUGAGCAGCUGUUCUUCUUCCUGGCCAUUUGGUUCAUCUACUUCUUUUCUGAUGCCAACCUCUCUUCCACCUACUCAGGGGCUGGAAGGGCGACUGGAGAGCCAAGCCCCUGCGAGUGAGGACAGAGAAUGGCCAAAGGCAGAGCCACAGGGUAGACCUUUGCACCUUGGGAGGAGAGAUUUGGAGAAUGGUGCUGCCUGGGCCCCUUUGCCCCCACCAAACCGCAGGGGUACCAUGGCCCUGACCUGCGUUCAGAGGGCCGAGUCAAUGUCACAGGAAGGGGAAGAGACAUGUGCCCACAGACCCUGUGGUCAUGGAGGGGGUGGAAGAUCUCUGGAGGGCAGCAGGGCCACAGCAAGGCUCUGAGGUCCUGAGUCUUCUCCGUCCGUGGACUUAAACUCUGCGUGUUUACAGCUGUUCUGUGCCUGGGUCCAGGCUCUAGUGAGAAAUAAACUGCCUUCAGAGCCAGGUCAUCGACAGGAAUGACAGCCUGGCAAGCUGCAGUGACUGCACACAGCUACCCUGUGAGCUCCACUUGUGUGGGUGCAGGUGGGCGACAGGAGUGUGUGACACAGACAGGCACUCCACCAGGAGGAAACCCACAGCAGACGUCAACCAUCGCUUUAUUAAGGCUGCGAGUCGGGGGGCUGAGUCAUGCACUCCACAGACACCCCCACUGCUCCCAAGGUCCACUUUUGGAUGACCCUGAAGGCAGAGACUCCUGAGAUCUGGGCCACAAUCUAGGGAGGCACAUUCGGGGCCCAGGAUGCUCCCAGGCUGCUCUGGUAAAUCAGGAAGGAAAACAGGCCAGGGUUAGGAAAGCUGCUCCAUGGUCCAGGCUGCUCUGAGGGGCAGAGCCUUCCCACCGUGCUGCUGCAGCAUCUGGCUUCAUCCCUCCCGAGUCCAUCCCAGUCUGAUCAGGUGGCCAAGGCUGGAGCAAGGCACAGCUCACUCUGACAAGAUAAACUGCAAGAAAUGUGAGAGGCGACAAGAGAAGGAAAAGGCAGGAUGCCCUUAUCUGGAGACCUGGCUUAGACCACACCCAUUCCAUGACGCCACCCCGGAUUGCCCCUUUCCUGUGCUUUCAGAGCCCACCAGCCCUUCUCAGCCUCCAAGGACACAGGACAUCAGCUCAGGGCCUUGAAGGAGCCCUAGUCAGCGUGGUCCUGAGUCACCAAGUCUGUCAAGGCCAACAGGACUGAGACCUCCACAAACUGACGCUGAAGUCUAAGGACCUUUUUCCUUGUUCCACCCCACUGCGCCUCAGAUGUUUCCAGGAGUUUCUGAAGGUCAUGUUAACUAGAAUUUACUCUUAAAACCAAAGACACAGAAAUAAACGUUAAGCAUAGUAUUGACAACAGCAAUUCUGAACCACUUAGAGGCAAUUCACCCUUCAAGAGGUCAAUUUCCCUUUUCUCUGGCUGAUGUGUUCCCCACUAUCUUUUCUGUACUACAUGAGGGGCUCCUGGCAAAUGGCUUCCUGAAGACAUCAAAGAUGAGUACCAAGGGCCAAAGCCUGACAAGCAAGACCCAAGGAGACCUGAGUUGUCAACUGAUGUACCAGACAGGGCUGUUGCUGCAGAAAACUCCAUAAAAGUUCCAAGGGUGCCAGAAUGACUUUCUGAAAUGCCUGCCUAACUCUGCUGUCAGCCACUUUCUUCCAGAGCCCAUAGCACAUCAUCAUUUAGUUCAUCAAAGAACAGCAGGGCAGGUCAGUGGCUCUGUUCCAGUAGCCCAGCUACACAGGCUUCUCUAGAUGGCAGGAACAUAUGUAUGAAUUUCUGUGUGAAUCAGAGCAGAAUUCUCUCACAUUAAAUUUUUAUACACUUGGUUCUUUAUCUGAAACAGAGGACUUCAGAAGUUGGUCUUGAGUACUGUGGAGAAGGAAAGAAAAACAAGGAAGAUACAGAAGCAGCAGAGAAGAACAGUAGGGAGA